Molecule: ribosomal RNA, 1150 nt
Filed under: uncultured Flavobacteriaceae bacterium
Lineage: Bacteria; Pseudomonadati; Bacteroidota; Flavobacteriia; Flavobacteriales; Flavobacteriaceae
Description: bacterial SSU rRNA
Rfam family: Bacterial small subunit ribosomal RNA
Source: RNAcentral
UGGAGGCACUCUGAACCAGCCAUGCCGCGUGCAGGAUGACGGUCCUAUGGAUUGUAAACUGCUUUUAUACAGGAAGAAACCCUACCACGUGUGGUAGAUUGACGGUACUGUAAGAAUAAGGAUCGGCUAACUCCGUGCCAGCAGCCGCGGUAAUACGGAGGAUCCAAGCGUUAUCCGGAAUCAUUGGGUUUAAAGGGUCCGUAGGCGGUUUAAUAAGUCAGUGGUGAAAUCCGGCAGCUCAACUGUCGCACUGCCAUUGAUACUGUUAAACUUGAAUUAUUGUGAAGUAACUAGAAUAUGUAGUGUAGCGGUGAAAUGCUUAGAGAUUACAUGGAAUACCAAUUGCGAAGGCAGGUUACUAACAAUCAAUUGACGCUGAUGGACGAAAGCGUGGGGAGCGAACAGGAUUAGAUACCCUGGUAGUCCACGCCGUAAACGAUGGAUACUAGCUGUUCGACCGCAAGGUUGAGUGGCUAAGCGAAAGUGAUAAGUAUCCCACCUGGGGAGUACGAACGCAAGUUUGAAACUCAAAGGAAUUGACGGGGGCCCGCACAAGCGGUGGAGCAUGUGGUUUAAUUCGAUGAUACGCGAGGAACCUUACCAGGGCUUAAAUGCAGUAUGACAGGUUUGGAAACAGACCCUUCUUCGGACAUAUUGCAAGGUGCUGCAUGGUUGUCGUCAGCUCGUGCCGUGAGGUGUCAGGUUAAGUCCUAUAACGAGCGCAACCCCUGUUGUUAGUUACCAGCGAGUCAAGUCGGGCACUCUAACAAGACUGCCGGUGCAAACCGAGAGGAAGGUGGGGAUGACGUCAAAUCAUCACGGCCCUUACGUCCUGGGCUACACACGUGCUACAAUGGCCGGUACAGCGAGCAGCCACUGCGCGAGCAGGAGCGAAUCUACAAAGCCGGUCACAGUUCGGAUUGGAGUCUGCAACUCGACUCCAUGAAGCUGGAAUCGCUAGUAAUCGGAUAUCAGCCAUGAUCCGGUGAAUACGUUCCCGGGCCUUGUACACACCGCCCGUCAAGCCAUGGAAGCUGGGGGUACCUGAAGUCGGUGACCGCAAGGAGCUGCCUAGGGUAAAACCGGUAACUGGGGCUAAGUCGUAACAAGGUAGCCGUACCGGAAGGUGCGGCUGGAACACCUCCUUUCU